CGGGGGGGGCAAGCGUUGUUCGGAAUUACUGGGCGUAAAGGGCUCGUAGGCGGCCAACUAAGUCAGACGUGAAAUCCCCAGGCUCAACCUGGGAACUGCGUCUGAUACUGGAUGGCUUGAAUCCGGGAGAGGGAUGCAGAAUUCCAGGUGUAGCGGUGAAAUGCGUAGAUAUCUGGAGGAAUACCGGUGGCGAAGGCGGCAUCCUGGACUGGCAUUGACGCUGAUGAGCGAAAGCCAGGGGAGCAAACGGGAUUAGAUACCCCGGUAGUCCUGGCCCUAAACGAUGAAUGCUUGGUGUGACGGGUAUCGAUCCCUGUCGUGCCGAAGCUAACGCAUUAAGCAUUCCGCCUGGGGAGUACGGUCGCAAGGCUG
This 372-nucleotide ribosomal RNA is filed under the name uncultured organism. RNAcentral describes it as "bacterial SSU rRNA". It matches the Rfam family "Bacterial small subunit ribosomal RNA", at positions 526 to 896 of the family's 1533-position model. The record is from RNAcentral.